CCUGAACACGUCUCAGACUGGUGACGGAGUUCUCCAAGAAGACCGGAGACUACCCGAGUCUGUCAGCCACCGACAUCAAAGUCCUGGCUCUGACCUACCAGCUGGAGCUGGAGCACGUCGGCUCCCAGCACCUGAAGAAAGAGCCAGAAGUCAAGGUAAAAGUCCAGAGCACGAAGCGCCACCCAGAGACUCCGCUUAACGUCGCAGGAUUUCACUUCCCCUCCAAGAAGCCCGUGGACAGUUUGAACGUCCGACAGACUCCAACAAAGACGGAGACGUCGUCAGACCCUGCAGCCAGUGACGAGUUUAACAGCUUCCACUUCUGGAGAGAGCCGCUGCCCUCCAUCGACAGCGACUUGCUGGAGUUACUGGUGAGUCAACCAACUGGAAG
Molecule: long non-coding RNA, 391 nt
Organism: Micropterus dolomieu (smallmouth bass)
Lineage: Eukaryota; Metazoa; Chordata; Actinopteri; Centrarchiformes; Centrarchidae
Exons: 4
Source: RefSeq, a predicted model, not a curated record